UACCGAGGUUUUCCUCGGCAUUUAACUGCAGCCGGUUUUGGAAUUUCUCGGCAGUUAACUGCCGAGGGGACA
Molecule: microRNA precursor, 72 nt
Filed under: Medicago truncatula (barrel medic)
Lineage: Eukaryota; Viridiplantae; Streptophyta; Magnoliopsida; Fabales; Fabaceae
Description: MIR2629 microRNA precursor family
Rfam family: MIR2629 microRNA precursor family
Source: Rfam by way of RNAcentral